RNAcentral lists this ribosomal RNA (253 nucleotides) under uncultured bacterium. RNAcentral describes it as "partial 16S ribosomal RNA". It matches the Rfam family "Bacterial small subunit ribosomal RNA", at positions 524 to 776 of the family's 1533-position model. The record is from RNAcentral.
UACGUAGGGUGCAAGCGUUGUUCGGAAUUACUGGGCGUAAAGGGCGCGUAGGCGGGCCCGUAUGUCGAUUGUGAAAGCCCAGGGCUUAACCUUGGAAUUGCAGUCGAAACUGCGGGUCUUGAAUGCCUGAGGGGAUGGCGGAAUUCCCGGUGUAGAAGUGAAAUUCGUAGAUAUCGGGAAGAACACCUGAGGCGAAGGCGGCUGUCUGGCGGUGCAUUGACGCUGAGGCGCGAAAGCGUGGGGAGCAAACAGG